This is a non-coding RNA of Oryctolagus cuniculus (rabbit), 1440 nucleotides long. Lineage: Eukaryota; Metazoa; Chordata; Mammalia; Lagomorpha; Leporidae. The record is from RefSeq and is a predicted model, not a curated record.
UUUGCAAUUUUUUCUAGAACUCAAAUCCCCUUUGGGACUGGCAUUGUGGUGCUGUGGGUUAAGCUGCAGUCCAGUGAGAGGAACUGCAAGGUGUCCGGCGGAUCCCAAAGCUAUCAGGAACAACUAAAGGAAACAUGACCCAGGGAAGACUCCUGCCUGUCUCUGUGAAGAGAAGAGAUUGGAUGAUCUGUAUAUAAGUUCCAGAUGGAUGGGGCUGGUGCUGUGGUGUAGCGGGUAAAGCCACCAUCUGUGACACUGGCAUGCCAGUGUCACUCGAACUGGCUGGUUCGAGUCCUGGCUGCUCCACUUCCAAUCCAGCUCCCUGCUGAUGUGCCUGAGAAAGCAGCAGCAGAUGACCCAAGUCCUUGGGCCCCUGCACCCACGUGGGGGAUCCGGAAGAAGCUCCUGGCUUCUGGCUUCAGAUUGGCCCAGCUCAGGCUGUUGUGGCCGUUUGGGGAGUGAACCAACUGAUGGAAGAUGGCUAGGAAAAUGCAGGGAGAAUGGAUCUGAGUGGAGCAUUUGUCAGAGCCUCUCCGGGUAUUCUGUAGUUAGAAGAUGAAUGCAGGGGCCGGCACUGUGGCAUCGCCAGUUAAGCCACAUCCUGCGACGCCAGCAUCCGUGUAUGGGCCUUGGAUCGAGUCCCAGCAGCUCCAGUUCUGAUCCAGCUCCCUGCUAAUGGCCUGGGAAAGCAGCAGAGGAUGGCCCAACUGCAUUGUCCUGCUUACUAAUGAUCGUCAAUAUUAACACUCCUGUGGGUUCUUGCCACUUAUUCGAAGAAGUCUGAAGACUGGCUCAAAUAGACCAGACAACACGCUCUCUGCUAUGGCCUGGGAGAGCAGUAGAAGAUGGCCCAAGUGCCUGGGUCCCUGCACCCACGUUGGAGACCUGGAAGAAGCUCCUGGCUCCUGGCUUUGGAUCAGUGCAGCCCUAGCCGUUGCGGCCAAUUGGGGAGUGAACCAGCAGAUGGAAGACCUCUCUCUCUGUCUCUGCCUCUCCUUCUCUCUCUGUGUAACUCUGACUUCCAAAUAAAUAAAUAAAUAUUAAAAAAGGAGAAACAGAAGUGCACUAUUCAUUUGAUAAACGCGAUUUGAACCGUAUGCGGUUUUGCUGCAGCAAAGAGGCCCAGGAUUUGAGAGUGAGGAUGGCAACUCAUCAGUGAGGCAGUCAGAUUCCACAACUCCAGUCCCGGCAGCACUUUCCUAGAAAUGUCUGUAGAAAUUCGAAACCGUGGAAUUGCCAUGUCAAAGGAUUUGUUCUUUACUUGGCCUGCGUGGUCUGCCACUUCUAGCAUCAGCGCGACAUACGACACUUAAGACGUCUGCAGCUGUCCCAGCUCACAGCUGCGCUGGGUUCCCACUGACAUUCUCUAAGCUGGUCUGUGACUUUGGAGCUAGCUCGUGAGACCCCUCCAAGGCAGGCUUCCAGGGCUCGCGGCCCGGA